UACGGGAGGCAGUAGUGGGGAAUAUUGCACAAUGGGCGAAAGCCUGAUGCAGCUAUGCCGCGUGUAUGAAGAAGGCCUUAGGGUUGUAAAGUACUUUCAUCGGGGAGGAAAAACAAACUAAUAAUUUUAUUUCUUGACGUUACCCGAAAAAGAAGCACCGGCUAACUCCGUGCCAGCAGCCGCGGUAAUACGGAGGGUGCUAGCGUUAAUCAGAAUUACUGGGCGUAAAGAGCACGUAGGUGGUUUUUUAAAGUCAGAUGUGAAAUCCCUGGGCUUAACCUAGGAACUGCAUUUUGAAACUGAAAUACUAGAGUAUCGUAGAGGGAGGUAGAAUUCUAGGUGUAGCGGUGAAAUGCGUAGAUAUCUGGAGGAAUACCUGUGGCGAAAGCGGCCUCCUAAACGAAUACUGACACUGAGGGUGCGAAAGCGUGGGGAGCGAAACAGGGAUUAGAUACC
RNAcentral lists this ribosomal RNA (456 nucleotides) under uncultured bacterium. RNAcentral describes it as "bacterial SSU rRNA". It matches the Rfam family "Bacterial small subunit ribosomal RNA", at positions 340 to 786 of the family's 1533-position model. The record is from RNAcentral.